AAAAUACGCGGGCACCUACCGAUACGAUAUUUAUUUGUCUUGUUCACAUGCAUGAGAUACGAGAUUUAUUUAAUUGUCAUGUUCAUAUCUGCACCGAGAUACGGAAAAUUACCUGUAGGCUUUCAACCAAUAAGAAUUAUUGGAUCCGGCUUACGCAGAGUAUCCAGAAUUAUUUAGACCUCGGUCAAUGUUGUCUGCCUCAGCCUUCGGCGGCUUCGGCAGAUAGCAUUGACCUCGGUCUGAAUAAUUCUGGGUAUCCUGCUCAACCUCAUCCAAUAAUUCAGGUUAAUAAUUUUCACUACAAAUUUCCAUCUUCCAAAAAUCCUUCAAUAUUUAGUUCUAUCGAGUGAGAGAUACACAAAAUCCUGAUGUUAAAAAUAUAGCCGAAAGUAGCCAUUACAGUAGGACAAGUUGAUAACGUUGCUUACGCGCGAAGUAUGUGCAGAAGUAUCAAGCUGCUCCAGUAGCUUUACCUAAUAUUUUAAACUUUUAAGACGUUUUAUGCAGAAAUGGAAACGCCCUCACUGUACAUCGUCGACGAAAUUCAGUUCCUCGGUAUAAAAUGUUUUUAAAGAAUCGAAACAAGACAACAAUAAAUCCUAAAAAUAAGGCCAGUUAAUUAAAAAAAUACUUUUGUUUUUUAUUCGCUGCCCUCCCCUAAAAAAUUGACUCCCGGAAUUUUUUUUUAAUUAAUCGGUAUACCGUGGGGCUGUCGCGUGGAAUGGUCUGCCCUCUCAACUUUUGCGAUUGGUAGACGAACCUCGAUCUAUUUCUUCUUUUCGUAGCUUGAUUAAUAAUUAUUAUAAAACUUUGUAAUAGCUUGUAUAUGUUGUAAUAUUUUAACUACUUAUAAAUGUUGUAAUUCUUUUUAAACACACGGCCCUUUGAAAAUCACACAAGCGAAAGGCUACCGUGUUUAAA
Non-coding RNA from Paramuricea clavata, 921 nucleotides. The record is from the annotation of a GenBank genome assembly. Lineage: Eukaryota; Metazoa; Cnidaria; Anthozoa; Malacalcyonacea; Plexauridae.